AGCGAACGCUGGCGGCAGGCCUAACACAUGCAAGUCGAACGAACUCUUCGGAGUUAGUGGCGGACGGGUGAAUAACACGUGGGAACGUGCCUUUUGGUUCGGAAUAACUCAGGGAAACUUGUGCUAAUACCGAAUGUGCCCUUCGGGGGAAAGAUUUAUCGCCAUUAGAGCGGCCCGCGUCUGAUUAGCUAGUUGGUGAGGUAACGGCUCACCAAGGCGACGAUCAGUAGCUGGUCUGAGAGGAUGACCAGCCACACUGGGACUGAGACACGGCCCAGACUCCUACGGGAGGCAGCAGUGGGGAAUCUUGCGCAAUGGGCGAAAGCCUGACGCAGCCAUGCCGCGUGAAUGAUGAAGGUCUUAGGAUUGUAAAAUUCUUUCACCGGGGACGAUAAUGACGGUACCCGGAGAAGAAGCCCCGGCUAACUUCGUG
Molecule: ribosomal RNA, 433 nt
Filed under: uncultured bacterium
Lineage: Bacteria
Description: partial 16S ribosomal RNA
Rfam family: Bacterial small subunit ribosomal RNA
Source: RNAcentral